AUGUGAAAGCCCACGGCUCAACCGUGGAGGGUCAUUGGAAACUGGGGAACUUGAGUGCAGAAGAGAAAAGCGGAAUUCCACGUGUAGCGGUGAAAUGCGUAGAGAUGUGGAGGAACACCAGUGGCGAAGGCGGCUUUUUGGUCUGUAACUGACGCUGAGGCGCGAAAGCGUGGGGAGCAAACAGGAUUAGAUACCCUGGUAGUCCACGCCGUAAACGAUGAGUGCUAAGUGUUAGAGGGUUUCCGCCCUUUAGUGCUGCAGCUAACGCAUUAAGCACUCCCCCCGGGGAGUACGGUCGCAAGACUGAAACUCAGAGGAAUUGACGGGGGCCCGCACAAGCGGUGGAGCAUGUGGUUUAAUUCGAACCAACGCGAAGAACCUUACCAUGUCUUGACAUCCUCUGACAACUCUGCACAUACAUCGUUCCCC
This 429-nucleotide ribosomal RNA is filed under the name Bacillus sp. (in: firmicutes). RNAcentral describes it as "bacterial SSU rRNA". It matches the Rfam family "Bacterial small subunit ribosomal RNA", at positions 592 to 1018 of the family's 1533-position model. The record is from RNAcentral. Lineage: Bacteria; Bacillati; Bacillota; Bacilli; Caryophanales; Bacillaceae.